CUCCAAAGGUUUACUACAAGUCCC
Molecule: non-coding RNA, 24 nt
Filed under: Arabidopsis thaliana (thale cress)
Lineage: Eukaryota; Viridiplantae; Streptophyta; Magnoliopsida; Brassicales; Brassicaceae
Source: RNAcentral